Molecule: ribosomal RNA, 269 nt
Filed under: uncultured prokaryote
Description: partial 16S ribosomal RNA
Rfam family: Bacterial small subunit ribosomal RNA
Source: RNAcentral
UACGUAGGUGGCAAGCGUUGUCCGGAUUUAUUGGGCGUAAAGCGAGCGCAGGCGGUUCCUUAAGUCUGAUGUGAAAGCCCACGGCUCAACCGUGGAAGGUCAUUGGAAACUGGGGAACUUGAGUGCAGAAGAGGAGAGUGGAAUUCCAUGUGUAGCGGUGAAAUGCGUAGAUAUUAGGAAGAACACCAGUGGCGAAGGCGGCUUUCUGGACUGUAACUGACGCUGAGGCUCGAAAGCGUGGGGAGCAAACAGGAUUAGAUACCCGUGUA